Molecule: long non-coding RNA, 520 nt
Organism: Dermacentor silvarum
Lineage: Eukaryota; Metazoa; Arthropoda; Arachnida; Ixodida; Ixodidae
Exons: 3
Source: RefSeq, a predicted model, not a curated record
UAAAUCCUGGCUUCUCUGGCAGUGUAUAUAAGGCCCGCUCUGGCCACGUUGAAACCAUCACUCGCUUGAAGCCCAUCGAGCACUUUGGACUAUGCGGGCCCUGGUUGUCGUCGCUGUUCUUUGCGCCCUCCUGGGGGUCGCCUUGGCCGGCUUCUACGGUCACGGUGGUGGCUUUGGCCACGGUGGUGGUCACGGCUACCAUAAGACGGUUCCAGGCCCUAGUUUCCUCGUCAAGACCGUACAUCACGUGCACAAGCUUCACCAGGGGGGCACCCUCUUUGGUCAAGCCCACCACGGCUACGGAGGAGGAUACGGUGGAGGACACGGAGGCGUCUUUUUGCUCAAGGGCGGAUACGGCCACGGAUAUCACUGACACCAACGAGUGCGGAAAUGAAGCUGUAAGCCGCCGGAAGGACUGAAGUGCAAGAGAUCUUCAGCUUGGUAUGGUCCGCAAAAGGACCAGAGGCUCACAAACCAUGCUGUAAAUAAACUGUAAAUAAAAAGUUUUGAUUUUUCCCAA